RNAcentral lists this ribosomal RNA (539 nucleotides) under uncultured soil bacterium. RNAcentral describes it as "bacterial SSU rRNA". It matches the Rfam family "Bacterial small subunit ribosomal RNA", at positions 8 to 526 of the family's 1533-position model. The record is from RNAcentral.
AGAGUUUGAUCCUGGCUCAGAAUCAACGCUGGCGGCGUGCCUAACACAUGCAAGUCGAACGCGAAAGCCCCGCAAGGGGUCAGUAGAGUGGCAAACGGGUGAGUAACACGUGGGUGAUCUGCCUCAGAGUGGGGGAUAACGACCCGAAAGGGUCGCUAAUACCGCAUAACAUCCUGCCUUUGGAUAGGUGGAGAUCAAAGCUAGGGAUCGCAAGACCUGGCGCUUGGAGAGGAGCCCGCGGCCGAUUAGCUAGUUGGUGAGGUAAUGGCUCACCAAGGCAACGAUCGGUAUCCGGCCUGAGAGGGCGGACGGACACACUGGGACUGAGACACGGCCCAGACUCCUACGGGAGGCAGCAGUGGGGAAUUGUUCGCAAUGGGCGAAAGCCUGACGACGCAACGCCGCGUGGAGGACGAAGAUCUUCGGGUCGUAAACUCCUUUCGAUCGGGAAGAAUGGCUUCCGGGUUAAUAGCCCGGAGGAAUGACGGUACCGAGAGAAGAAGCCCCGGCUAACUCUGUGCCAGCAGCCGCGGUAAUAC